Olea europaea var. sylvestris is the source of this 725-nucleotide long non-coding RNA. RefSeq lists it as uncharacterized. Lineage: Eukaryota; Viridiplantae; Streptophyta; Magnoliopsida; Lamiales; Oleaceae. The transcript is spliced from 3 exons. The record is from RefSeq and is a predicted model, not a curated record.
UAAGAUGCUAGUGUGUGUGUCUACCAGAUUCUAGCAUGCCAUGGUUUUCUUAAAUAAUUUCUGUUUUGAAAAGUUGUCAAUUUUCUUAUAACAGCUGAUAUCCUUGUUCAUAAGUUCUUCAAGACUCCUUAUUUCAAGAAAGGGGUUCGUCCAAUUCCAGGUGCUCUGAAAGCUCUUCGACACUUGUCCAAAUUCUGUAAUUUGUCUGUUGUUACUUCCCGACAGAACGCAAUUAAAGAAGACACAAUUGCAUGGAUCGAGAAGCAUUAUCCGGGCCUCUUUCAGGGGAUUCACUUUGGAAAUCACUUUGCUUUAGAAGGACUAGAGAGACCGAAAUCAGAUAUUUGCAAGUCCUUGGGAGCAAAGGUUUUGAUUGAUGAUAAUCCUAGAUAUGCUAUUGAAUGUGCUGAUGCUGGGAUAUGGGUUCUUCUUUUCGAUCAUGAAAAUUCUUAUCCAUGGUGCAAGACAAAGUCUGUGAAUCAACAUCCUCUCAUCACCAAGGUCAAUAACUGGAAAGAGGUGCAACGUCUAGUGUUGCGGUUAGUUUCCUAAAGACAGCUAGGCUAUGAGACGACGUAUUUCAUGAAAAAAAUCAAAUAGAUUUAUGUAGUUUUUUUUACGUAUCUUGAAGCGGCGUCUUAUCUCGUAGUAAUGGAGGCGGAGGCGGAGGCGGAGGCGAUUUGAUUUUGAUUUUGAUUUUUUGCAACUCUUCAUUCGUUGCAAUG